This 484-nucleotide ribosomal RNA is filed under the name uncultured bacterium. RNAcentral describes it as "partial 16S ribosomal RNA". It matches the Rfam family "Bacterial small subunit ribosomal RNA", at positions 30 to 507 of the family's 1533-position model. The record is from RNAcentral.
AUUGAACGCUGGCGGCAGGCCUAACACAUGCAAGUCGAGCGGAUGAAGGGAGCUUGCUCCUGGAUUCAGCGGCGGACGGGUGAGUAAUGCCUAGGAAUCUGCCUGGUAGUGUGGGAUAACGUCCGGAAACGGGCGCUAAUACCGCAUACGUCCUGAGGGAGAAAGUGGGGGAUCUUCGGACCUCACGCUAUCAGAUGAGCCUAGGUCGGAUUAGCCAGUUGGUGGGGUAAAGGCCUACCAAGGCGACGAUCCGUAACUGGUCUGAGAGGAUGAUCAGUCACCCUGGAACUGAGACACGGUCAAGACUCCUACGGGAGGCAGCAGUGGGGAAUAUUGGACAAUGGGCGAAAGCCUGAUCCAGCCAUGCCGCGUGUGUGAAGAAGGUCUUCGGAUUGUAAAGCACUUUAAGUUGGGAGGAAGGGCAGUAAGUUAAUACCUUGCUGUUUUGACGUUACCAACAGAAUAAGCACCGGCUAACUUCGUG